GACGAACGCUGGCGGCGUGCUUAACACAUGCAAGUCGAACGGAAAGGCCCUGCUUUUGUGGGGUGCUCGAGUGGCGAACGGGUGAGUAACACGUGAGUAACCUGCCCUUGACUUUGGGAUAACUUCAGGAAACUGGGGCUAAUACCGGAUAGGAGCUCCUGCUGCAUGGUGGGGGUUGGAAAGUUUCGGCGGUUGGGGAUGGACUCGCGGCUUAUCAGCUUGUUGGUGGGGUAGUGGCUUACCAAGGCUUUGACGGGUAGCCGGCCUGAGAGGGUGACCGGCCCCAUUGGGACUGAGAUACGGCCCAGACUCCUACGGGAGGCAGCAGUGGGGAAUAUUGCACAAUGGGCGGAAGCCUGAUGCAGCAACGCCGCGUGCGGGAUGACGGCCUUCGGGUUGUAAACCGCUUUCGCCUGUGACGAAGCGUGAGUGACGGUAAUGGGUAAAGAAGCACCGGCUAACUACGUGCCAGCAGCCGCGGUGAUACGUAGGGUGCGAGCGUUGUCCGGAUUUAUUGGGCGUAAAGGGCUCGUAGGUGGUUGAUCGCGUCGGAAGUGUAAUCUUGGGGCUUAACCCUGAGCGUGCUUUCGAUACGGGUUGACUUGAGGAAGGUAGGGGAGAAUGGAAUUCCUGGUGGAGCGGUGGAAUGCGCAGAUAUCAGGAGGAACACCAGUGGCGAAGGCGGUUCUCUGGGCCUUUCCUGACGCUGAGGAGCGAAAGCGUGGGGAGCGAACAGGCUUAGAUACCCUGGUAGUCCACGCUGUAAACGGUGGGUACUAGGUGUGGGGUCCAUUCCACGGGUUCCGUGCCGUAGCUAACGCUUUAAGUACCCCGCCUGGGGAGUACGGCCGCAAGGCUAAAACUCAAAGGAAUUGACGGGGCCCCGCACAAGCGGCGGAGCAUGCGGAUUAAUUCGAUGCAACGCGUAGAACCUUACCUGGGUUUGACAUGGAUCGGGAGUGCUCAGAGAUGGGUGUGCCUCUUUUGGGGUCGGUUCACAGGUGGUGCAUGGCUGUCGUCAGCUCGUGUCGUGAGAUGUUGGGUUAAGUCCCGCAACGAGCGCAACCCUUGUUCACUGUUGCCAGCACGUUAUGGUGGGGACUCAGUGGAGACCGCCGGGGUCAACUCGGAGGAAGGUGGGGAUGACGUCAAGUCAUCAUGCCCCUUAUGUCCAGGGCUUCACGCAUGCUACAAUGGCUGGUACAGAGAGUGGCGAGCCUGUGAGGGUGAGCGAAUCUCGGAAAGCCGGUCUCAGUUCGGAUUGGGGUCUGCAACUCGACCUCAUGAAGUCGGAGUCGCUAGUAAUCGCAGAUCAGCAACGCUGCGGUGAAUACGUUCCCGGG
This 1343-nucleotide ribosomal RNA is filed under the name uncultured bacterium. RNAcentral describes it as "16S ribosomal RNA". It matches the Rfam family "Bacterial small subunit ribosomal RNA", at positions 28 to 1378 of the family's 1533-position model. The record is from RNAcentral.